GGCGCGUUAGUGUAAACGGUCAACAUGCUGCCCUUUCAAGGCGGAGACUACGGGUUCAAAUCCCGUACGCGCUA
Molecule: transfer RNA, 74 nt
Filed under: Caulobacteraceae bacterium
Lineage: Bacteria; Pseudomonadati; Pseudomonadota; Alphaproteobacteria; Caulobacterales; Caulobacteraceae
Description: tRNA-Glu
Rfam family: tRNA
About the family: Transfer RNA (tRNA) molecules are approximately 80 nucleotides in length. Their secondary structure includes four short double-helical elements and three loops (D, anti-codon, and T loops).
Source: RNAcentral